This 99-nucleotide non-coding RNA is filed under the name Anaerosporobacter mobilis. Its description in RNAcentral is "SAM-I sequence". It matches the Rfam family "SAM riboswitch aptamer (S box leader)". Rfam says of the family: The SAM riboswitch is found upstream of a number of genes which code for proteins involved in methionine or cysteine biosynthesis in Gram-positive bacteria. The SAM riboswitch acts at the level of transcription termination control. RNAcentral also lists the same sequence under 1 other name. Lineage: Bacteria; Bacillati; Bacillota; Clostridia; Lachnospirales; Lachnospiraceae. The record is from RNAcentral.
CUCUUAUUCAGAGUGACGGAGAGUAAAGGCUCUAUGAAGUCACGGCAACCCCCUAGGCGGAAGGUGCCAACCUGAGCGAGUAAAAUCGAGCAAUAAGAG